UGGGCAUGUCUUUGACGUACUAUGUACUGAAAGAUGGACUGCUCAGUAAUACUCACUUUAUUUGAUGUACAUUAUACAUAACUACGUUAAAGUGUAGCUAACAUAUGUACAGUAAGAGUGAGACCUAUCAGCUAGUUGUUAAGGUAAUGGCUUAACAAGGCAAUAACGGGUAACGGUAUUACUUUGUAAUAUUCCGGAGAAGGAGCCUGAGAGACGGCUACUAAGUCUAAGGAUUGCAGCAGGGGCGAAACUUGACCUAUGGAUAUUAUCUGAGGCAGUUAUGGGAAGUAACAUAGUUGUUUCACAUUUUAAACGCCCCCAA
This 322-nucleotide ribosomal RNA is filed under the name Vairimorpha apis. RNAcentral's name for it is "Nosema apis partial small subunit ribosomal RNA". The stretch from base 1 to 286 matches the Rfam family "Microsporidia small subunit ribosomal RNA", at positions 49 to 334 of the family's 1311-position model. Lineage: Eukaryota; Fungi; Microsporidia; Nosematidae. The record is from RNAcentral.